RNAcentral lists this ribosomal RNA (454 nucleotides) under uncultured bacterium. RNAcentral's name for it is "partial 16S ribosomal RNA". It matches the Rfam family "Bacterial small subunit ribosomal RNA", at positions 28 to 507 of the family's 1533-position model. The record is from RNAcentral.
GAUGAACGCUGACAGAAUGCUUAACACAUGCAAGUCAACUUGAACUUCGGUUUGGGUGGCGGACGGGUGAGUAACGCGUAAAGAACUUGCCUCACAGCUAGGGACAACAUUUGGAAACGAAUGCUAAUACCUGACAUUAUGAUUAUAUGGCAUCGUAUAAUUAUGAAAGCUAUAUGCGCUGUGAGGGAGCUUUGCGUCCCAUUAGCUAGUUGGAGAGGUAACAGCUCACCAAGGCGAUGAUGGGUAGCCGGCCUGAGAGGGUGAUCGGCCACAAGGGGACUGAGACACGGCCCUUACGCAUACGGGAGGCAGCAGUGGGGAAUAUUGGACAAUGGACCGAGAGUCUGAUCCAGCAAUUCUGUGUGCACGAUGAAGUUUUUCGGAAUGUAAAGUGCUUUCAGUUGGGAAGAAAAAAAUGACGGUACCAACAGAAGAAGUGACGGCUAAAUACGUG